RNAcentral lists this long non-coding RNA (6331 nucleotides) under Brassica napus (rape). RNAcentral's name for it is "long non-coding RNA (BNAP_LNC016236)". Lineage: Eukaryota; Viridiplantae; Streptophyta; Magnoliopsida; Brassicales; Brassicaceae. The record is from RNAcentral.
GAUGAGAGCUAGAAACUUCUUCAAUGAUUUGCCUUGAAUUUGCCUGAGUAGAUUUGUCUUAAAAGCCUCUUAAACAAGAGCCUUUUGUGCUGAUUCUGGUUCUUUCCAUGUCGUCCUCUGAGGUGAUGGAUGUAGAUCCCUGAGCCAAAACUUGAUCCUUUUCCAGACGUGCAGGACUCAGUUGAAAAAGUAUUGUGAUUUGAGUACUUCCUUUAAAUCGAAAUCACCUCUCUUUGGUACUGGAGGAAACACAAGAGUCGGGUAUGACUCUUGGAAACUUUGGAGUAACUGUAUCAAGAAUACAAAACAAACGAGGCUGUAAUUAACACAAAAAAAAAGUUUCAUCCAAAUCCUUAAUCCAGUUGUAGAAAGAAGUAAUCUAACUAGAACAUCAUCAUUAGUGUUGAUAUUUUAUAAAGAAAUCUCUGUUUAUUGAUAAUAUAUAGAUGAAUCCAUAAUCAUUUGUUCAAUCAGUGAAUAAAGUAAAAUCAUGUUCAGUUCUAAGCUUCUAUCUACCAGAGAGAGAUAGAGUUAUCGAAAACUUACAUCUUCAAGGAUUGGUGAGCUGUAAAGCUCAACGAAUUUCUCUCUAAGUAUUCUGUUCAUUGUGUCAACAUCACAUGCAUGCGUCCAGUAGGAGUCAUGCACACCUGCCAAAAAAAAAACCAUUGAAUAAGAAGAGAUUCCAGUUCAGUUUUUCUUUUUCUUUUAGCAAGCCAUUUAGUUGAAAUAACAGGGACUAACCUGCAAAGUUUAGGCCAGCCUCUCGACAUGCAACAGCAGUCAUCAUCAUGUGAGUGCCGUCCAGCGAGUGCACAAAGUUUGGAGGAAACGCUGUUCUUUGUUUCCUAACAUCCACCUGACAAUUAAAAAUCUUUUUAAGUCUCCAAAGAUCAUACAACAAGUGAAAUCUUACUCAGUGCUCAUAAAGAAGAGAACAAAUACGCUUUACCGUGUUACCCUCUCGCUGCAGAGCCAAAACCUGAAGAGAUGUUCUUAUCUGCAGCCACAGUGCCCAUAGUUAAAACCACUACUCAAAACUAUUGGCUCUCCCAGUGGGAUGAUGCAUAUAGCUUACUUGAGGGGAUUCAGAAUGGAUAACACUUACCAAAUGUCUUUCACUUCUGCAAUAAGGUUGCACAACAGGAAGUCCAAGAGGCGUAGUCCAUCGCACUGGAUGAUUAUCUAAAGCUAUUAUCUGUAACAUUCACAAGAGAAAAACAAAAUAUCUAUUAGGUCUCUCACCUACCAAGGUAAAGUAUCAGAGUUAACAAUAACAAGUUACAAGACUGUACUACCUUAGCACAAUCACCAAGCCAACUCAUAAUGGCACGUGCGGCUUCAAAUAUCUCUCCAAGGGCUGCUAGUGUCACCUGAGAGGAUUAAUGUUUAUAGUAUAAAAUCAACAUACAACUAGGAAAAAAAAAUAUUAUUCGCGUGAAUGAUGUUACUCUUUCUUACUUUUGCAGAAUAGCAAGCAGCAGCGAAUAACAUUCUCUCGUCAGUGAUAACACCUUUCUCUUCUAAUCUUCUUUUUAUCUGUUCACGCGCUCCAACAUAGGUCACACCAUAUACUGACGUCAUUACCGUCUGCUUUACCAGCUUCCUGUCCACCUGAAAUCAGAAGAAUAAUACUUAGUUUCAUCGAGAAAGACCUUUUUCUGUGGUAGUAUAAAAACAACUGAGACUCACUUGAUUGAUAAGGAUCUUUGCCAAUGCGGCGGUUGGGUUUGACUCAGGAUCCUUACUGCUAUCCUUCUUCAUUAUUUCAUGGACUCUAUCUCACCACAAGCGAAGAAGAAAAGAGAGAACAACAAAGAGGAAAGGGUACCAUUAGAAGCAACACAUGGCAUGAUUCUAACAAAAUUAAUUGCUAAUAAGAUACCUCAAUGAAAUUUCAGAAUAGACAUCAGCUGGUUUUUCUCCCGCAACUAGAUUAACUGCUGCAGCUUCAAACUGAGAAAUACCAGUUUACAAGAAGAAAACUAUAUGAGACUAAAUAUGACACCAAACAAGAGCAAAGGCAGAUCAUAAAUGUUCACAAGAGAACCUACACUAUCUCUUCCUAAAGCUGCAUAAUGCUGUAGACCAUUGCAAGACCCAUCCUGCACAUUACAAAUGAAGAGUUGAUUCAGAGCUAACGAAUGAACAGAAAACGUUAAUAGAGUUGUUUUACAGUUCAAUGCAAAGAGUGAAACCCAAUUGAAAUUUUAUUCAACCGGAUACAGAAACCAAGUGCCUAGUAACAAAAAAGAAAAGACUAGAGCCUAGUUAAAUUUUAUGGUGCUUACCUGAUGAAUAGGCAAGUUGGAGAUUACAGAAUGAGGUGAAGGGCUUUUCAAGGCUUGUGCCAGAAUAACACAUGCAGCCAAACACUGAAAAGGAUCCUCAGCCUUCAACCACCAUCUUUUCCCAUGAACAGCAUUUUCAGCAGACUCUAUUAUAUCAUCCAAAUGGUUUUCCACAAAAGCAAGACGCCCAUCAUGCGAAAGCUUUUCGACACCACCUGCGUAGAGGUUCGCUAAAUGUAUUUUCAGCCAAUACAAGCCUGACUUUCCAAGUGGACGUCCUUCAGCAAACUCCAGGGUUCCACGGCAAAGAUCAGAGCUCAGAUGGUUUAGAUGAGGGUGCAUUGGGUAUGCACGGCCCCUGAAGUCGAGAUUGUGAGGGUAGUAGAAUCCUUCCUCGUCUUUCAUUUUCCUAGCCACCUGAAACUUAUUAUCUUCAGUCCAUAUCUUUGCUAGCAAGUCAAGACGAAACAAAAGAGGGAUAAUCUUACAGAAAGCUUGAGCUCAACAUCACAUCUUAGAGAAUGCCUCUCUCUGUUAAUCUUUUUCGCCUUUCUAACACUCCAUUUCCACAAUUGGAUCUCUUCUGGAUCCUCAGACAAAGGUUUCCCUGGUAUGGGAACCUAAGAAACAAAAAAAAAAGGAGAAUACAUACAUUAUCAAACACAUACCAUUCCAGAUCCUAUAAGAUGUCUAUUUACUUACGUCUUCUCGAUUAACUAAGCCUGCAAUGUUGCCUCCAUCGGCCCAUAGCCUUUCCACCACAUCAAGUAUUUUCCUAUUGACCCUCCACUUGGUGUUCCCAAGUGUAUCCAACGCCUGAUCAAGUUACAUUUCGAAACAUUAAUGUAUAACAUUACCAGACAGAAACAAAACAGAAAAUAUAAGAGCAAAGACACCAAUGUACCUCAAAUACUCUAUGAGCAGUCUUGGAACUAAUAUCUUUAAGCGCAUCUUGCUGUUUCUUGGAUCCGUGAGUACGCAUGAUAUAGGAAGGCAAAAACAAGUAACCACCCUUGUCAUAUCUGAAGAAAAAUGUAUAUGUAAGAAUGAGAACACAUGGCUAUAGAUAGCGUGGGAGUAUGAGGUUCUCAAUAACAGGCAAUGAUUCAUAAGUAAGGGUAUAAAAUCUAGAACCAAAGAAGAAAGAAUUGAUCAAAGCAAUACCCUUUCCAUCUCUUUGGUGGUACUAACAUCGGAACAUAGGGAAUUAACAUAUGCUUAGCCUGCAUGAGACAAUAACAAUGGAAGAUCACCUAAUAGCUCAAGAAUGUCACAUCUUUAAAUCAGAAAAGAAAGAUCUUAACUCACAGAUUUAUCCAGUCCUGCAAGCAGGAGCGAGUCACAUUCAAUAACUCCGUAUCUCCUCACCAGCUUUGACCUACAAACACAAAAUUUCCAAGUGAUAAGUGUACACAAAACAAUUAAGUAAAAAGAACAAACCAGAGAAAGGUAAGCAUCACACUAGUACGAUGAUGAACAUUACCCUGGAUAUUUGGUCACCGUUUUAAACUUGUGUCUGAACGCAGGCCGAACCUCGGGUAUAGAGUCUCCUGACUGGGUCAGGGGAGGUUGCACAUAAGCUGUUUCCAUUAAUAGUUCCAGCAGACGGCUUCCAAGCUGAAAAUCAACAUGAGUCCACCCAUGAAGACGACAUUUUGCAAAAUAUUAUCAAUUCCACUCAAAACGCCACAGACCUUAGCUUGUGUAGCUCGCCCCCAUGGUUUGAUACCAUCACUCUUCACCACUUUUAGCGCAUCAAUAAUCCUCUUCCUACGAAUCAAACUAUUGACACGUUUCCUAAGCAACUGCUUAUCCUUUAACUCCUCUUGUGAGUCCCCUGCAUUGUUCUUCCGAGUUCUCUUCAAGAAGUUAUGAAUCCUCACCUUUAAAAAAUCAAACCAAAACUCUCAUACAUAACUGCUUCACACACCUUACUUGAAAAUACUAAACUCAUAUCAUACCUCAUGCUCUAUUGCUAUGCCGAUACUAACAGCAGCUUGAACAACUUGGAUACACCCAUCCUCAUGUCCGGACAUAACCAAACCCAUCAUCUUAUGCAUCACAAUAACCGCCAUUUUAUCAGCAGGCAAAAGCUCGAUGUGGGGCGCAUAAGCCGCUCUGACCUUCUUGCUCUUGUUCUUCUGCAGCCUCUGCUCCCUCUCGAUCACAUCUUUCAACGGCUGGAACCAACCCAGGAACAUGUGUUUCACGUAAGGUAGAUUGGGAGCGAGACUCUUCUCGCACAUCUCCUUCUCCAACUCUCUGUACUCAUCGACCAUCCUCUCCCAGCCAAUAUUAUCCCCAAAAGAGGGGAGAAGAGACGAUGACAAACUGAUAAUUCAGUAAUUUAGUUUAUAUGCAGAACGUUUCCAUGAACUCAUAUUGGAAACACUGACAGGUAAAUAAAAAACAAUAGUACAAAGAUUUGAAAAAGAAGAAGAAUACUGUUUAUGAUUUGUGGACCUUUGACAGUAGCUACUGAGAGCACUCAUGACUACACUAAAGUAAAAGAAAGAUUUUCCACUGUAACAAAGAUAACAAAUAUAAACACCUUGAACUCCUUAAUUAAUUAUCUCUAAGAGAGAACAUUGGAACCGGCACGUGUCUAGGCGAUGGAGCAGCACACAUUGUGACGGAACUAGCAAACCGUUCUUUCUGUGGUUUCUGCCAUCGCACAGUCUUGAUCGUGCUCGGAGCUUUAAACGGCUCCCCAUCAGGUUUAGUUUCAGAUGGAGCAGCAGCACCCACUGUGAUCGAACCACCAAGCAGUUCUUGUUCUUGAUUCAGCGGCAGCACAGUGUCGAUCGUGCUCAGAGCUUGAACCGGACCCGGUUUAGUUUGCAAGGGUUUUGAAGGUUUAAGAGGAGCUUUUGGUGAGCGUUUCAAAGCGGCGAUUGGAACCUUUUGAUGAAUAUGUAAAACAGAGUUACGAGCGAUGUAGUGAAAAGCGAUUCCAUGUCUUGUGUGAAACGGAACGACAAAAAGGUCUGUGACAAGGAACCGGUGUCUUAACACAAUCGACAUAUCUUGAAGAGAGAUGUGAUGAUAAAGAAAGAUAAAUUCUUCGAUAUGUUGUUGUAAUUUUCUGCAAACUAUGAACGAGUGAUUUGUGAGAAACAAUGAGAGGGUUAGAGGUUUAUUUAUAAGGUCUAAAUUAUUCACCUUCGAGCCUAAUUAUGGAAAGUAAAGAGUUAUUACAAAAAAGGAAACAUCCGUAACGACCGAUAACAAAUUAAAAUAGGAAAUCUAGCUCGAGUGAUAUUUCCUUUUUGCAUAUCAUUAUGACAGUAUAUUUAUAAAAAGGAAAUAUAUAUUUUUGACCACUAGCUUCUUAUACCCAUCUUUCUUGUGAAACAAGUAUGUUAGUAAGUUGCACUAGACUAGAGUAACAGACAAUGGAACAUUUGCUGAUCAAUUUCUAAUUUUCACUAGAGUUUUUAAAACCGGUUCCUCUCCUGUAUGAUUAUGCAUAACCGGUCAAGCGAUUUCUGAGGGGAGAUGUUGCUACAAAACUAGGUGCCUGACAACUACACAACUGAUUCAUUAGCUUAUGGUUCCCGGAAAGAAGUCUCAUCUUUUGACAAAAAAGUUGGCUACAAAAUCACACAGAGGUUACUACAAAACUAGGUGCCCUUCUGUUUUUUUUUUUGAGUUCUUGUUUCUAUAUGAAAUUCUCUCUCCUGUACAACAGUACCAAUGACAUACAACAUAAACUAAACCUAUUCUCAUUCCCAAAUAACAUGCUUGAUGCAAUGACUUUGCAUCCAUUAUUUAAUACUACCUAUGACCUACCUGAUGAGAGCUAGAAACUUCUUCAAUGAUUUGCCUUGAAUUUGCCUGAGUAGAUUUGUCUUAAAAGCCUCUUAAACAAGAGCCUUUUGUGCUGAUUCUGGUUCUUUCCAUGUCGUCCUCUGAGGUGAUGGAUGUAGAUCCCUGAGCCAAAACUUGAUCCUUUUCCAGACGUGCAGGACUCAGUUGAAAAAGUAUUGUGAUUUGAGUACUUCCUUUAAAUCGAAAUCACCUCUCUUUGGUACUGGAGG